RNAcentral lists this ribosomal RNA (482 nucleotides) under uncultured bacterium. RNAcentral describes it as "partial 16S ribosomal RNA". It matches the Rfam family "Bacterial small subunit ribosomal RNA", at positions 30 to 507 of the family's 1533-position model. The record is from RNAcentral.
AUUGAACGCUGGCGGCAUGCUUUACACAUGCAAGUCGAACGGUAACAGGCCGCAAGGUGCUGACGAGUGGCGAACGGGUGAGUAAUGCAUCAGAACGUGCCCAGUCGUGGGGGAUAACUACUCGCAAGAGUAGCUAAUACCUCAUACGAUCUAUGGAUUAAAGCGGGGGACCGUAAGGCCUCGCGCGAUUGGAGCUGCCGAUGUCAGAUUAGGUAGUUGGUGGGGUAAAGGCUCACCAAGCCAACGAUCUGUAGCUGGUCUGAGAGGACGACCAGCCACACUGGGACUGAGACACGGCCCAGACUCCUACGGGAGGCAGCAGUGGGGAAUUUUGGGCAAUGGGCGCAAGCCUGAUCCAGCAAUGCCGCGUGCAGGAAGAAGGCCUUCGGGUUGUAAACUGCUUUUGUACGGAACGAAACGGCGCUGGUUAAUACCCGGGGCUAAUGACGGUACCGUAAGAAUAAGCAACGGCUAACUACGUG